AUUGUGUGAGGGAUAGUAUGAAUAUUCUAUGAUAGAGUAAUAUUCGCUUCGAGAUAGACUUAAAGGGCAACAGGACGGAGUCUCUAUGGAACUACCGAACUUCUCUGCCGCGUAGAAAGCGAGUCUAAUUGUUUCCCAGAAUGAAGGCAUUGCCCCUAAUUAUUGUGACAGCCGUCUUCGUAACGACGCUGGCAGCGGAAGGCAAAGCACGGACAUGGUUACGACACGACGCCGAAUGUGAGCCCGGAGAAGAAUGGACAUUCUGUGCCCCAACGUACCCUCCUGUCUGUCCACAGCUAUGCCAGGCCAUGUGCGUUUGCAAGAGGGGUUACGUUCGGUAUCUUGGCGCCACAGGACCAUGCGUCCCCAUAUCGUCCUGCCCCGUCCCCAACUACAAUCCAGGGCGGCGAAGACCAAGGAUUUACUAGGGGCCUUUGCAAAUCGGAAACGGUAUGAACAAGGUUCAACCCAGAAGACAAGGCCCCCUUUAUUCCCACAAGGAAGGUGGGUAGAGGAAAAUGGGAAGGCCGUGGGG
Ornithodoros turicata is the source of this 535-nucleotide long non-coding RNA. RefSeq lists it as uncharacterized. The record is from RefSeq and is a predicted model, not a curated record. The transcript is spliced from 3 exons. NCBI's taxonomy places the organism in Eukaryota, Metazoa, Arthropoda, Arachnida, Ixodida, Argasidae.